AUACAGAGGGUGCGAGCGUUAAUCGGAAUUACUGGGCGUAAAGCGCGCGUAGGCGGCUUAUUAAGUCAGAUGUGAAAUCCCCGGGCUCAACCUGGGAACUGCAUCUGAUACUGGUAAGCUAGAGUUUGGGAGAGGGAAGUAGAAUUUCAGGUGUAGCGGUGAAAUGCAUAGAGAUCUGAAGGAAUACCAGUGGCGAAGGCGACUUCCUGGCCUAAAACUGACGCUGAGGUGCGAAAGCGUGGGUAGCAAACGGGAUUAGAGACCCCGGUAGUCC
RNAcentral lists this ribosomal RNA (274 nucleotides) under uncultured bacterium. RNAcentral's name for it is "partial 16S ribosomal RNA". It matches the Rfam family "Bacterial small subunit ribosomal RNA", at positions 523 to 796 of the family's 1533-position model. The record is from RNAcentral.